This is a non-coding RNA of Podarcis lilfordi (Lilford's wall lizard), 76 nucleotides long. Lineage: Eukaryota; Metazoa; Chordata; Lepidosauria; Squamata; Lacertidae. The record is from the annotation of a GenBank genome assembly.
GGAAGGGCCCAUAGUUCUGUGGUAGAGCAUCUGCUUGGCAUGCAGAAGGUCUCAGGGUCAAUUCCUGGCAUUUCCA